CCCUGCCAUUUGUACACACCGCCCGUCGCACCUACCGAUUGAAUGGUCCGGUGAAGUCUCUGGACCGGCUUCUACCUUGUGUAGGAGCUGGGAAGUUGACUAAACCUUACCAUUUAGAGGAAGGUGAAGUCGUAACAAGGUUUCCGUAGGUGA
RNAcentral lists this ribosomal RNA (153 nucleotides) under uncultured eukaryote. Its description in RNAcentral is "partial small subunit ribosomal RNA". It matches the Rfam family "Eukaryotic small subunit ribosomal RNA", at positions 1651 to 1812 of the family's 1831-position model. The record is from RNAcentral.